RNAcentral lists this unclassified non-coding RNA (293 nucleotides) under uncultured fungus. Its description in RNAcentral is "sequence contains ITS1". Lineage: Eukaryota; Fungi. The record is from RNAcentral.
GGACUACUGGGGUUUCUAAUCCUGUUUGCUCCCCACGCUUUCGCGCCUCAGCGUCAGUUCAGCGCCAGAUGGCCGCCUUCGCCACCGGCCUUCCUCCAGAUAUCUACGCAUUUCACCGCUACACCUGGAAUUCCGCCAUCCCCUCGCUGACUCAAGUGAUGCAGUUUCCAAGGCAAUUUUAGGGUUAAGCCCUAAUCUUCCACCUCAGACUUACUCCACCGCCUACGCGCCCUUUAAGCCCAGUAAUUCCGAACAACGCUUGCCACCUCUGUCUUACCGCGGCGGCUGGCACU